This 253-nucleotide ribosomal RNA is filed under the name uncultured bacterium. RNAcentral describes it as "partial 16S ribosomal RNA". It matches the Rfam family "Bacterial small subunit ribosomal RNA", at positions 524 to 776 of the family's 1533-position model. The record is from RNAcentral.
UACGUAGGUGGCAAGCGUUAUCCGGAAUUAUUGGGCGUAAAGCGCGCGCAGGCGGUUUCUUAAGUCUGAUGUGAAAGCCCACGGCUCAACCGUGGAGGGUCAUUGGAAACUGGGGAACUUGAGUGCAGAAGAGAAAAGCGGAAUUCCACGUGUAGCGGUGAAAUGCGUAGAGAUGUGGAGGAACACCAGCGGCGAAGGCGGCUUUUUGGUCUGUAACUGACGCUGAGGCGCGAAAGCGUGGGGAGCAAACAGG